RNAcentral lists this ribosomal RNA (216 nucleotides) under Glomeromycotina sp. RNAcentral's name for it is "partial small subunit ribosomal RNA". The stretch from base 87 to 216 matches the Rfam family "Eukaryotic small subunit ribosomal RNA", at positions 733 to 864 of the family's 1831-position model. The record is from RNAcentral. Lineage: Eukaryota; Fungi; Glomeromycota.
GGGUCAGUAGGUUGGUCGUGCCACCGGUACGUACUGGUCUCACUGAUUCCUCCUUCCUGAAGAACCGUAAUGCCAUUAAUUCGGUGUUGCGGGGGAACAGGACUGUUACUUUGAAAAAAUUAGAGUGUUUAAAGCAAGCUAACGCUUGAAUACAUUAGCAUGGAAUAAUGAAAUAGGACGAUCGAUCCUAUUUUGUUGGUUUCUAGGAUUGACGUA